Molecule: ribosomal RNA, 533 nt
Filed under: Poropteropsis sp. ARC1933
Lineage: Eukaryota; Metazoa; Arthropoda; Insecta; Coleoptera; Curculionidae
Description: partial 16S ribosomal RNA
Rfam family: Bacterial large subunit ribosomal RNA
Source: RNAcentral
CGCCUGUUUAUUAAAAACAUGGCCUAUUGAUUAUAAUUUUAGGUCUGACCUGCCCAAUGAUUUAAAAUUGAAUGGCCGCGGUAAUUUGACCGUGCAAAGGUAGCAUAAUAAUUAGUUUUUUAAUUGAAAGCUUGUAUGAAAGGUUUGAUGAAAAAGUAACUGUCUCUAUUUAAAUUUAUUAAAAUUUUAUUUUUAAGUAAAAAAGCUUAAAUAUAUAUAGAAGACGAGAAGACCCUAUAGAGUUUUAUAAUAAAUAGUAUAAUUAGAAUUUAGAAUUGUAAAUUUUUAUAUAAUUUAUUAUUUCGUUGGGGUGAUAAAAAAAUUUAAUAAACUUUUUUUGUAUAAAAACAUUGAUUAAUGAAAAUUUGAUCCUUAAAUAAAGAUUAUAAGAUAAAAUUACCUUAGGGAUAACAGCGUAAUUUUUUUUUAGAGUUCAAAUUGAAAAAAAAGAUUGCGACCUCGAUGUUGGAUUAAAAGCAAUUAUUGGUGUAGCAGCUAAUAAAUUAGGUCUGUUCGACCUUUAAAAUUUUACA